Long non-coding RNA from Mastomys coucha (southern multimammate mouse), 468 nucleotides. RefSeq lists it as uncharacterized. The transcript is spliced from 2 exons. Lineage: Eukaryota; Metazoa; Chordata; Mammalia; Rodentia; Muridae. The record is from RefSeq and is a predicted model, not a curated record.
CCCAGAACAGGGAAUGGCCUAUAGAUGUUUUGGCUGUGUUUUGGGCUGUUGCCCUCUGAAGAACUUGAGCUCAGUUCUCUCAGGGCAGUAGGGAGGGGCGGCUCCCUAACCACCCCUAACUGACCUCUAACUACCCCAGAGCUUGGCUGAUGUGGAACUUGUCCUGCCUUCCUGGCACUGACCUUUCAGACCAGCACACUGUUUAGAGCCCAAAGCAGGAGCCUGAGUGGACAAUGGGCACUGUCUCCAAGAAUUCCACUCUGACAAUGGGGCACAUCUGGAGUUACAUCUGGAGUCAGGGCUGGGCUCUCCCUAAUGCUCCACCACAUCUACUGAGAAGAUCAGAAGCUUGACCCACCUUCGUCUUCUGCUGCACCUUCAACAUACGCAUGACCCCUCCCCAACUUCUGAAGACCGGGGUCUGCACACAGUGGCCAAGGAGAACUAUACAUUCAUUCUGCAAUCAGG